CAGUAGCCGCGGGAAUACAGAGGGUGCGAGCGUUAAUCGGAUUUACUGGGCGUAAAGCGUGCGUAGGCGGCUUUUUAAGUCGGAUGUGAAAUCCCUGAGCUUAACUUAGGAAUUGCAUUCGAUACUGGGAAGCUAGAGUAUGGGAGAGGAUGGUAGAAUUCCAGGUGUAGCGGUGAAAUGCGUAGAGAUCUGGAGGAAUACCGAUGGCGAAGGCAGCCAUCUGGCCUAAUACUGACGCUGAGGUACGAAAGCAUGGGGAGCAAACAGGAUUAGAGACCCCUGUAGUCCCUGUCUCUUAUAC
This 301-nucleotide ribosomal RNA is filed under the name uncultured bacterium. RNAcentral describes it as "partial 16S ribosomal RNA". It matches the Rfam family "Bacterial small subunit ribosomal RNA", at positions 509 to 807 of the family's 1533-position model. The record is from RNAcentral.